AUUGAACGCUGGCGGCAUGCUUUACACAUGCAAGUCGAACGGCAGCGCGGGCUUCGGCCUGGCGGCGAGUGGCGAACGGGUGAGUAAUGCAUCGGAACGUGCCCAGUAGUGGGGGAUAGCCCGGCGAAUGCCGGAUUAAUACCGCAUACGACCUGAGGGUGAAAGCGGGGGACCGAAAGGCCUCGCGCUAUUGUAGCGGCCGAUGUCGGAUUAGCUAGUUGGUGGGGUAAAGGCUUACCAAGGCGACGAUCCGUAGCUGGUCUGAGAGGACGACCAGCCACACUGGGACUGAGACACGGCCCAGACUCCUACGGGAGGCAGCAGUGGGGAAUUUUGGACAAUGGGGGCAACCCUGAUCCAGCCAUGCCGCGUGCGGGAAGAAGGCCUUCGGGUUGUAAACCGCUUUUGUUCGGGAAGAAAUCCUCUGGGCUAAUACCCCGGGGGGAUGACGGUACCGGAAGAAUAAGCACCGGCUAACUACGUG
Molecule: ribosomal RNA, 484 nt
Filed under: uncultured bacterium
Lineage: Bacteria
Description: partial 16S ribosomal RNA
Rfam family: Bacterial small subunit ribosomal RNA
Source: RNAcentral